This is a long non-coding RNA of Scleropages formosus (Asian bonytongue), 552 nucleotides long. RefSeq lists it as uncharacterized. The transcript is spliced from 4 exons. NCBI's taxonomy places the organism in Eukaryota, Metazoa, Chordata, Actinopteri, Osteoglossiformes, Osteoglossidae. The record is from RefSeq and is a predicted model, not a curated record.
CUGCAGAAACCUCUUUCAUGGUGGCAGCCAGUGUGAUGAGGUGACAGUGGUUUGUGUGCUGGGCCAACACCAACUCACUGAGGAGAAGCGCUUGUCCCUAAGCUGGACGCUAUAGCUACACUGCAUUCCUCCUCUUGUGCUGUACCAUGUUUCUCUGCUCAUUACCUGCACUAGUCUUGCUUCUCCAUCGUGGAGGUGGCUGCAGGUGACCCCGAGAGCCUGAGCCCUUACUCCCCUAGCAAGCAACAGUGGGAUUGGAGCAUUGACAGGCAGACCAUGGACUCAAUUUAUGGUGCUCUUUAGCACACACACCUACAGCAGUUUCCAGCAGACCAUGGUGCUCAGCUUUGGAUCUGAGCCAGUACUCUUUCAGACAGUCAAGGCAGAGCUGGUUGCAUCCAAAGGUUCCACCUCCAAACCUGCCCAUGCUUGUUGAUGGAUCCCUCUGUGCGAGCUCCAGAGCAUUGUGAAGAAACCCCCAGACACUGUGAAACCCCUCCUGCCAGGCCAGCUCUUCGCUCAGAUGAUUCUUCGGGAGUCCGGGAUGCUACC